This 748-nucleotide unclassified non-coding RNA is filed under the name Ceratophrys ornata (ornate horned frog). RNAcentral describes it as "partial contains 12S ribosomal RNA, tRNA-Val and 16S ribosomal RNA". The stretch from base 1 to 499 matches the Rfam family "Bacterial small subunit ribosomal RNA", at positions 794 to 1533 of the family's 1533-position model. Lineage: Eukaryota; Metazoa; Chordata; Amphibia; Anura; Ceratophryidae. The record is from RNAcentral.
GCCCAGCCGUAAACUUUAACUUACUUCAACAUCGCCAGGGAACUACGAGCAAAGCUUAAAACCCAAAGGACUUGACGGUACCCCAUAUCCCCCUAGAGGAGCCUGUCCUAUAAUCGAUAACCCCCGUUUAACCUCACCAUUUCUAGUUAGUCAGCCUGUAUACCUCCGUCGCCAGCUUACCACGUGAGCGCCACUUAGUGAGCUUAAUGUCCCUACGCCAACACGUCAGGUCAAGGUGCAGCAAAUGUAAUGGGAAGAGAUGGGCUACACUUUCUAGUUUAGAAAACACGAAAGACUACUUAUGAAACCUAGUCAGAAGGAGGAUUUAGCAGUAAAAAGAAACCAGAGUGUUCUUUUUAACCCGGCACUGGGGUGUGUACACACCGCCCGUCACCCUCUUCAAAGCCAAGAAAGAGUAUUUAACCAACCAUAGCAUAAUAGAAGAGGCAAGUCGUAACAUGGUAAGUAUACCGGAAGGUGUGCUUGGAAACAGAGCAUAGCUUAAUAAAAGCAUCCCGCUUACACCGAGAAGACAUCAGUGAAAACCAGAUUGCUCUGAGCCGAAAAUCUAGCCCAAUUUUUUCUAAUGGAAUCCCAUCCACCUUUAAUUUACAAAAUUAAAACAUUCUUAAAAUUCAGUAAAGGCGAUUGAAAAAUUUUAUGGAGCCAUAAAUAUAGUACCGCAAGGGAAAGAUGAAAUAGAAAUUAAACAACUUCUUAAGCACAAAAAAGUAGAGAUUACCUCUCG